UACGUAGGGUGCAAGCGUUAAUCGGAAUUACUGGGCGUAAAGCGUGCGCAGGCGGUUAUGUAAGACAGGAGUGAAAUCCCCGGGCUUAACCUGGGAACUGCAUUUGUGACUGCAUAGCUAGAGUACGGUAGAGGGGGAUGGAAUUCCGCGUGUAGCAGUGAAAUGCGUAGAUAUGCGGAGGAACACCGAUGGCGAAGGCAAUCCCCUGGACCUGUACUGACGCUCAUGCACGAAAGCGUGGGGAGCAAACAGG
This 253-nucleotide ribosomal RNA is filed under the name uncultured bacterium. RNAcentral's name for it is "partial 16S ribosomal RNA". It matches the Rfam family "Bacterial small subunit ribosomal RNA", at positions 524 to 776 of the family's 1533-position model. The record is from RNAcentral.